Molecule: ribosomal RNA, 257 nt
Filed under: uncultured bacterium
Lineage: Bacteria
Description: partial 16S ribosomal RNA
Rfam family: Bacterial small subunit ribosomal RNA
Source: RNAcentral
GAUCCUGGCUCAGGAUGAACGCUAGCUACAGGCUUAACACAUGCAAGUCGAGGGGCAGCAUUCUAGUUUGCUUGCAAACUAAAGAUGGCGACCGGCGCACGGGUGAGUAACACGUAUCCAACCUGCCGAUAACUCGGGGAUAGCCUUUCGAAAGAAAGAUUAAUAUCCGAUAGUAUAUUAAAACCGCAUGGUUUUACUAUUAAAGAAUUUCGGUUAUCGAUGGGGAUGCGUUCCAUUAGUUUGUUGGCGGGUAACGG